Molecule: ribosomal RNA, 149 nt
Filed under: uncultured bacterium
Lineage: Bacteria
Description: partial 16S ribosomal RNA
Rfam family: Bacterial small subunit ribosomal RNA
Source: RNAcentral
UGGGGAAUAUUGCGCAAUGGGCGAAAGCCUGACGCAGCGACGCCGCGUGUGGGAUGACGGCCUUCGGGUUGUAAACCACUGUCGGGAGGGACGAAUGCGCCGCAAGGCGAGUGACGGUACCUCCAAAGGAAGCACCGGCUAACUCCGUG